RNAcentral lists this long non-coding RNA (261 nucleotides) under Bos taurus (domestic cattle). RNAcentral describes it as "long non-coding RNA NONBTAT025321". The record is from RNAcentral. Lineage: Eukaryota; Metazoa; Chordata; Mammalia; Artiodactyla; Bovidae.
AAACAACACUUUCUUAAAUGUGGGAUUUAUCCUUGUUGUAUGAGGAAAUGGAGGAUUUACAUUUUUGAAUUAGCAGUGCUUACCCCAUAUUCACAAUAAUAAUAAGAUGUAAUUAGAAGUAAUGUUGCUUGGGAUUAGAUCAGAUGGCUUUAUUCUUCCUUACACUGUAUUGUCUUGGGAAGUUAGAGAUCACAGUCUUCUUUGACAAGUGGUAAGCUUUUCCUUCUCAUUUACCAGAUCCCAGUUUUCCAUUCGUCUGAA